GACGAACGCUGGCGGCGUGCCUAACACAUGCAAGUCGAGCGAGGAGAGUUCCUUCGGGAACAAACCUAGCGGCGACGGGUGAGUAACACGUGGGCAACCUGCCUUGUAGAGGGGAAUAGCCUUCCGAAAGGAAGAUUAAUACCGCAUAACAUUACAGUUUCGCAUGAAACAGUAAUUAAAGGAGCAAUCCGCUACAAGAUAGGCCCGCGGCGCAUUAGCUAGUUGGUGAGGUAACGGCUCACCAAGGCGACGAUGCGUAGCCGACCUGAGAGGGUGAUCGGCCACAUUGGGACUGAGACACGGCCCAGACUCCUACAGGAGGCAGCAGUGGGGAAUAUUGCACAAUGGGGGAAACCCUGAUGCAGCAACGCCGCGUGAGUGAUGAAGGUUUUCGGAUCGUAAAGCUCUGUCUUCGGGGACGAUAAUGACGGUACCCGAGGAGGAAGCACCGGCUAACUCCGUG
This 463-nucleotide ribosomal RNA is filed under the name uncultured bacterium. RNAcentral's name for it is "bacterial SSU rRNA". It matches the Rfam family "Bacterial small subunit ribosomal RNA", at positions 28 to 507 of the family's 1533-position model. The record is from RNAcentral.